RNAcentral lists this ribosomal RNA (778 nucleotides) under Donkiella yunnanensis. RNAcentral's name for it is "Phanerochaetaceae sp. JD-2023a partial small subunit ribosomal RNA". The stretch from base 42 to 360 matches the Rfam family "Group I catalytic intron". The record is from RNAcentral. Lineage: Eukaryota; Fungi; Basidiomycota; Agaricomycetes; Polyporales; Phanerochaetaceae.
CUAGUAUUAUCUAGUAAUAAAGUAUGUGGAAAAAAUUGAUACUACCAUACUAUUAGUGUUGUCAAAAGCUGUUAUGUGUUGUGGGAAAACACUAUUAUGGCUAAAACUAUCAAAUUCCGGGAACACCCUAAAGCUCCUGGUACCAAACCAUAGUCGAAAGGUUAUGAGUGGAUGGACUAAUCACCCAUGUAAGGUAAUAAGUCAGGAGAUCGAUGAAAAUAAAAUGGGUUAUCGCGGAUCUAAAUCAGACUUCUUAAUGGAUUCUGUAAAAGAGCAACGAGUAGACGGUAGUUAUUGCAUUAAAGCCAAAACCAAAAAAAUGCAAUUAAGGUAUACUCUAAUGGGUUUUGAGAGAAACUAUCAAGUCAAAAUCCCUUCUUACCAAUUAAAAAGAAUAAAUUAUUCUACAAUAUCCUCUGUACCCUUAAGGGUAAAUAGUUUACUAAAUCCUUAUUUUGUCUCUGGAUUUUCAGAUGCUGAAUCUAGCUUUAGUGUUUCAAUUUAUAAAAACAAUAAAUUAAAAACAGGUUAUCGUGUUAAAUCUUGUUUUCCGUACGGCGAAAUAGGGUUAAAUAAAAAAGAUAUUUCUGUAUUGUAUCAAUUACAAGAAUUUUUCGGUGGAAUAGGUACAUUAAGGACAGAUAACAAAGCUAAUGCAGUAAGAUAUUCAGUGGAUAGUCUUAAAGAUUUAACAACUAUUAUAAUACCUCAUUUUAACAGGUACCCACUAAUAACACAAAAACAAGCUGAUUUUCUAUUAUUUAAACAAAUAAUUGAG